CAAUAGCGUAUAUUAAAGUUGUUGCAGUUAAAAAGCUCGUAGUUGGAUUUCUGCCAGGGUGCCAAUGUCCGCCGAAGUGCGUGCGCAGCGGCGCCCUCGCAUCCUUCUGUUAACGCCUCUCGGCAUUUACUUGCCGGUGGUGGGCUCAGAUAAUUUACCUUGAGAAAAUUAGAGUGUUUCAGGCAGGCUAGGCCGGAAUACAUUAGCAUGGAAUAAUGGAAUAGGACUACGGUCUCGUUGUUGGUUUGAGGGACUGGAGUAAUGAUUAAUAGGGAUAGUUGGGGGCAUUAGUAUUUAAUUGUCAGAGGUGAAAUUCUCAGAUUUGUUAAAGACUAACUUAUGCGAAAGCAUUUGCCAAGGAUGUCUUCAUUAA
This 373-nucleotide ribosomal RNA is filed under the name uncultured eukaryote. RNAcentral describes it as "partial 18S ribosomal RNA". It matches the Rfam family "Eukaryotic small subunit ribosomal RNA", at positions 592 to 976 of the family's 1831-position model. The record is from RNAcentral.